This 925-nucleotide ribosomal RNA is filed under the name uncultured Planctomycetota bacterium. RNAcentral's name for it is "bacterial SSU rRNA". It matches the Rfam family "Bacterial small subunit ribosomal RNA", at positions 221 to 1153 of the family's 1533-position model. The record is from RNAcentral. Lineage: Bacteria; Pseudomonadati; Planctomycetota.
UGAGAGCGGGGAACGUCCUAUCAGGUAGUUGGUGAGGUAACGGCUCACCAAGCCAUUGACGGGUAGCGGGUGUGAGAGCAUGGCCCGCCACAUCGAAACUGAGACACUGUUCGGACUCCUACGGGAGGCUGCAGUAACGAAUCUUCCGCAAUGCGCGAAAGCGUGACGGAGCAAUGCCGCGUGCAGGAUGAAGCCCCUCGGGGUGUAAACUGCUGUCAGGGAUUAGGAACACAAUGACCAGUCCCAAAGGAAGAGACGACUAACUCUGUGCCAGCAGUCGCGGUAAUACAGAGGUCUCGAGCGUUAGUCGGAAUCACUGGGCUUAAAGCGUGCGUAGGCGGAUGUGCAGGCGUCGUGUGAAAGCCCUCGGCUCAACCGGGGAAUUGCACGGCGAACCGCAUGUCUUGAGACAAGUAGAGGCCGGUCGGAACGAUAGGUGGAGUGGUGAAAUGCGUUGAUAUCUAUCGGAACGCCAAAGGUGAAGACAGACCGCUGGGCUUGUUCUGACGCUGAGGCACGAAAGCGUGGGUAGCAAACGGGAUUAGAUACCCCGGUAGUCCACGCCCUAAACAAUGUGCACUAGAUCGAGGGGGGUACUGACGCCCUUCUCGGUCGAAGUAAAAACGUUGAGUGCACCGCCUGGGGAGUACGGUCGCAAGGCUAAAACUCAAAGGAAUUGACGGGGGCUCACACAAGCGGUGGAGCAUGUGGCUCAAUUCGAAGCAACGCGAAGAACCUUAUCCUGGGCUUGACAUGCACGGAUUAGUUCGCUGAAAGGCGAAUGACACUUUCGAGUGGAACGUGCACAGGUGCUGCAUGGCUGUCGUCAGCUCGUGCUGUGAAGUGUCGGGUUAAGUCCCUUAACGAGCGAAACCCCUAUUACUAGUUGCCAACGCGUUAUGGCGGGGACUCUAGUGAGACUGCC